UACGAACGCCGGCGGCGUGCCUAAUACAUGCAAGUCGAGCGGACCAAUAGAAGCUUGCUUCUACUGGUUAGCGGCGGACGGGUGAGUAACACGUGGGCAACCUGCCUGUAAGACUGGGAUAACUUCGGGAAACCGGAGCUAAUACCGGAUAAUUCAUCCCCUCGCAUGAGGGGGUGCUGAAAGUCGGUUCACGCUGACACUUACAGAUGGGCCUGCGGCGCAUUAGCUAGUUGGUGAGGUAAUGGCUCACCAAGGCGACGAUGCGUAGCCGACCGGAGAGGGUGAUCGGCCACACUGGGACUGAGACACGGCCCAGACUCCUACGGGAGGCAUCAGUAGGGAAUCUUCCACAAUGGACGAAAGUCUGAUGGAGCAACGCCGCGUGAGCGAUGAAGGCCUUCGGGUCGUAAAGCUCUGUUGUUAGGGAAGAACAAGUACCGGAGUAACUGCCGGUACCUUGACGGUACCUAACCAGAAAGCCACGGCUAACUACGUGCCAGCAGCCGCCGCCG
RNAcentral lists this ribosomal RNA (512 nucleotides) under uncultured bacterium. Its description in RNAcentral is "partial 16S ribosomal RNA". It matches the Rfam family "Bacterial small subunit ribosomal RNA", at positions 29 to 523 of the family's 1533-position model. The record is from RNAcentral.